CUUUGAAAUGGUCUUCCAUAGAAAUUGACCUUGUUCAAUUCUGCUAGUUGCUUUGACAGUUGCAUCUUGAAGAUUCUAUCAACCAUGUCUUUGUCAUUUUCCUUAUCUUCUCGCUUGACAUUGUUUUUCACUUCAGCCCCAUUUGGGUUGUAAGACAUUGUUAUAAGAACAUAAUCUGUAGAAUCCAUUCUAUGAUAAACAAAAAUACAGUUAGAAUUUAUGACAAUUUUACUACUGAGAAUAUGUGUAUGACAAAAAUACCUAGUUUGAGGAAUUCCCC
This 280-nucleotide long non-coding RNA is filed under the name Aquilegia coerulea. Its description in RNAcentral is "long non-coding RNA (ACOE_LNC001838)". Lineage: Eukaryota; Viridiplantae; Streptophyta; Magnoliopsida; Ranunculales; Ranunculaceae. The record is from RNAcentral.